GGAUGUGAGGGCAAUCUGGCUGCGACAUCUGUCACCCCAUUGAUCGCCAGGGUUGAGUCGGCUGAUCUGGCUGGCUAGGCGGGUGUCCCCUUCCUCCCUCACUGCUCCAUGUGCAUCCCUCCUGAAGCUGCACACCAGUCGAAGAGGAAGACCAUCCCUGAGAGAGGAGGACCGGUCUUCGGUCAAGGGUAUACUAGUAGCUGCAGUCCCCUGCUAGAACCUCCAAACAAGCUCUCAAAAGAGGCACUACAGAGGUGGACAGAGUUGACCAACAGUUAACUAAAUAUUCUUGCAAACCUACUGUGUCCUUCUGCCUCAAGGUGCUUUCACAUGUA
Molecule: unclassified non-coding RNA, 335 nt
Organism: Homo sapiens (human)
Lineage: Eukaryota; Metazoa; Chordata; Mammalia; Primates; Hominidae
Source: Ensembl